RNAcentral lists this ribosomal RNA (1781 nucleotides) under Orbilia pisciformis. Its description in RNAcentral is "bacterial SSU rRNA". Lineage: Eukaryota; Fungi; Ascomycota; Orbiliomycetes; Orbiliales; Orbiliaceae. The record is from RNAcentral.
UUCUUAGAGGGACUAUCGGBUCAAGCCGAUGGAAGUUUGAGGCAAUAACAGGUCUGUGAWKSCCUUAGAUKUUNUGGGCCGCACGCGYGAUACACUGACAGAGCCAACGAGUAUAAACCUUAACCGAGAGGUUUGGGUAAUCUUGUUAAACUCUGUCGUGCUGGGGAUAGAGCAUUGCAAUUAUUGCUCUUCAACGAGGAAUAUYUAGUAAGCGCAAGUCAUCAGCUUGCGUUGAUUACGUCCCUGCCCUUUGUACACACCGCCCGUCGCUACUACCGAUUGAAUGGCUCAGUGAGGCCUUCGGACUGGCUCAGGAAGGUUGGCAACAACCAUCCAGAGCCGGAAAGUUGGUCAAACUUGGUCAUUUAGAGGAAGUAAAAGUCGUAACAAGGUUUCCGUAGGUGAACCUGCGGAAGGAUCAUUAUCAAAACAAAUCUGCGUUCAGGUUCGCCCUGUCCGUAGUAUUUAAACCAAAUGUGAACCAAAACCCUUAUGCUUCGGUAGCAGGGUGGACUUAGUUGCCCACUUGUCAGCCUACCGGCAGCGCCAAACCAAAACUUGUUUUAAAAUUUUUGUCUGAAACCAUCAUUUUCGAAUGAAAAUUAAAACUUUCAACAACGGAUCUCUUGGUUCUCGCAUCGAUGAAGAACGCAGCGAAACGCGAUAGUUAAUGUGAAUUGCAGAAUUCAGUGAAUCAUCGAGUCUUUGAACGCACAUUGCGCCCAUCGGUAUUCCUUUGGGCAUGUCUGUUUGAGCGUCAUUUCAACUCUCUGACCGCAAAUUUUUAAUUUACGGUUGGGUUUUGGGCACGGAUCGAAGGGGUGAUUCCCAGACCGGCCUUAAAGUUGAACGCUCUGCGGGUGACUCUCAACCUGACCGAACAUAGUAAAUUUUGAAUUGUUCAACCCGGUUUUCAGUUUUUGACCCAGCCUGAAUAAAAAAAUCUUUUUUAAAGGUUUGACCUCAGAUCAGACAAGGAUACCCGCUGAACUUAAGCAUAUCAAUAAGCGGAGGAAAAGAAACCAACAGGGAUUGCCUCAGUAACGGCGAGUGAAGCGGCAACAGCUCAAAUUUGAAAUCUGGAGUCUUUGGCUUCCGAGUUGUAAUUUGAAGAGGAUGCUUCGGUUGUGGCCUGGGCCUAAGUUCCUUGGAACAGGACGUCGUAGAGGGUGAGAAUCCCGUACACGGCUACCGGCUUACUUCCAUGUGUAGCUCCUUCGAAGAGUCGAGUUGUUUGGGAAUGCAGCUCAAAAUGGGUGGUAAAUUUCAUCUAAAGCUAAAUACUGGCGAGAGACCGAUAGCGCACAAGUAGAGUGAUCGAAAGAUGAAAAGCACUUUGAAAAGAGAGUUAAACAGUACGUGAAAUUGUUGAAAGGGAAGCGUUUGCAAUCAGACUUGCUUUCGGUUGAUCAACGUUCCUUUUGGUUCGUGCACUCUGCCGUUCGCAGGCCAGCAUCAGUUCGAGCGGUGGGACAAAGACUGUGGGAAUGUAGCUCUCUUCGGGGAGUGUUAUAGCCCACUGUGUAAUGCCACCUGUUCGGACUGAGGUCCGCGCUUUUGCUAGGAUGCUGGCAUAAUGGUUGUAAACGGCCCGUCUUGAAACACGGACCAAGGAGUCUAACAUCUAUGCGAGUGUUUGGGUGUCAAACCCAUACGCGUAAUGAAAGUGAAUGGAGGUGGGAGUCUUCGGAUGCCCCAUCGACCGAUCCUGAUGUCUUCGGAUGGAUUUGAGUAGGAGCAUAGCUGUUGGGACCCGAAAGAUGGUGAACUAUGCCUGAAUA